GCGAGAGUGGCGGAAUUGGCAGACGCACCGGCCUUAGGAGCCGGCGGCUUUACGGCUGUGGGGGUUCAAAUCCCCCCUCUCGCACCA
This 87-nucleotide transfer RNA is filed under the name Deltaproteobacteria bacterium. Its description in RNAcentral is "tRNA-Leu". It matches the Rfam family "tRNA". From Rfam's summary of the family: Transfer RNA (tRNA) molecules are approximately 80 nucleotides in length. Lineage: Bacteria; Pseudomonadati; Myxococcota; Myxococcia. The record is from RNAcentral.